CAGUUGAAGCCAAGCCAACUGCUGGAUGGAGCUGAGAGGCUUUUGGUUUCUGGUUGAGGUGGAGAGAGAAGCUAGUUGUAUCUCUGGGACUUGAGUUUAUCAAGUUGGAGGGGACCUUUGGCUUGGAUAUUGGACUUGUUUCUUUUUCUUUGGACUGCUCCUGAGACCCUUGGGACCUUCACUUUUUGAACUUCUUCCUGGAUCCUGUGUUGGCUUGCUGGGUGAAUCUUUUGUGGAGGAUUCCCCAUCCGCUAAGAGACUGGAGACCUUGCACUAGUUCUUGUGAUCUAAUUGCACACGUGUAGCAGUCAAACUGUCCAUCAUCUGCCUCAUUCUUCCUGAAUAACCAGCCUACCUUCUUU
This 362-nucleotide long non-coding RNA is filed under the name Monodelphis domestica (gray short-tailed opossum). RNAcentral's name for it is "lncRNA (ENSMODG00000045174.1)". The record is from RNAcentral. Lineage: Eukaryota; Metazoa; Chordata; Mammalia; Didelphimorphia; Didelphidae.